This is a long non-coding RNA of Gasterosteus aculeatus aculeatus (three-spined stickleback), 2121 nucleotides long. Lineage: Eukaryota; Metazoa; Chordata; Actinopteri; Perciformes; Gasterosteidae. The record is from Ensembl.
GGGAGGCGGAGGGAGGGACACGGAGGGACGUUGCGGCCGAUGGAGGGCGUUGGAAACUACAGUAAUUUAUCUUCUGCCUGCAUAUUCCGGGCUUGUUAUAGUAAUCAUAUAACGUUUUGUCUUAUGGGUGGUAUUUAAAUGUUGCAUCCUGGGACUGUGAGGAUACGGAAUAUGAAUAAUAUCAAGUGAAAUUAGAUAUUUUAAUAAUCACUUUAUUGGCAAGAUUUUUUUCCUGAUGGUUGUUAAAAAAAAAAAAAAAAACUUCUGCUGAGUAAGUUGUUUUUUUUAUGUAAUAGAGAAUUUUUGUUAUUUUUAUUGAAGCUGUGAUGCUGCUCAUUGCUUCAGACCGAGAGGCUGCAGCACAACGAGCCCUGCGCGUGUUUUGGGGGCGGUAGUGAAUGCAACAGUUGCUCUUUCGUCAUUGGCUGAGAGCAGUGUCCAACCGCUGCUACAGCAGGUUUAGAAUCUCACAGGCAGCCAAUGAGAGGAGAGGAGGGGCCUGUGGAGGGCGGAGCAACUUGGGCAUCACUCAGUGACUCUCUCCAUCUCGUAAUAGUGUUAAAUAGUCACACUCAUGGGGGCAUUCGUGAAGUUAUUAAAGCGUUGGCACCUUAAACUCUUCUGACUCAUAAUCCAAUGUUUUCCCGGAAAAAACCUAGAAAUGUCAAAACGAGCAGUGAGCGUCAGUAAUGAGCACGUUAGCACCGGUUAGCGGUUCAGCUCUACAUUGUGGGGCCAUGAUGGAGCCAGGUGUCAUGAUGGGGUCUUAACAGUCUCCGCCCUCACGGAGCUGGGUCGAUCGUACGUCUUUUGUCAUCCGUCUGAUCUUCAGCGACUUGACGGACAUGCAGCAGUUACUGCAGAAAUAAUCCUGAUUGUAAUAUUCCUGAAGAGGUUUGCCGCCUGGUGUACUGUGGGACCGGUCGUUAGAACUCCAAAAGCUGAGGCCCUCUGGCCUCCUGCACCCCAAGGCGCCUUCGCCCUGUCACGGAUCAUGCUCUGUAAAGUGGGUCUCUCGCAGUUUGACAUGUGUUUGUGCUGACUGGCUAGUUGUCGACACGCCACAGAACGUAUAGACUGAGUCCCGUGAGGUGAGCAUCUCUGAGGAGACGCCCUUCACAGCAUCACGUAACCGUGUGCGUGUGUGUGUGUGCGCGUGUGUGUGUGCGUGUGUGUGUGCGUGUGUGCUUGAGGCUGAUUCAGUAAGUAACUACAUGUUUUAAAGCCACAUUUGACUGUUACCAUCUCACCAGAAACACAAACACAUGCUGGAUGUGCAGCAACGCUCUGAUUUAUAUUCCGACGGCGUAUCUUUUUUUUUUUUUACUCAUUAGUCGAUAUAAAUGUAAAUUGCAUAUGUUUGGUUUGGAAACGGCUUUGUAACUUAUUAAGCUUCAGGAUCAAACUGCGGAGCUAUUUUUCCAUCUGCCAAUUAACGUUCCUGUUAAAAAGCCGAGUGCAUUUUUUCCUCGUUAUCACCCGAGAGUGGUCUGCAAAGAGAUACCAAUAAGUCACUCGGCCCUCUUUGGUCUUUAGGUCUUUGUAAAAAAAACUUAAUUUGAUAAGUUGGGUGAGUUUUUUACCACGUUAACAUAAAAGAUCAGCGAGUAAAGUAACUUGAGUUCCACUAAAAAAUGAAUAAUUUCAUCCAACAAUUAGCAAAGACUGUUGAUGGCAUGAUGCUACUAGAAAUGGUUGUUAUUGGUUACAAUGAACUUUGGAAAAAGCACAGUCGCUUCCCUUUGACGAAUGUUUGCAACGAGAAGCAUCUUCUGUGACAAUAAGACAGUUGAAUGAAGAUCUUUUGUGAAGAUGAGACAUUCAAGUCAAGAUUUGUUCUGAUGAGGCAUUUGCAUAACAGCUUCUUUUCUACUUUUAUAAUAAAAACUGACUCUACAAAUAAAACAGACAAUAUUCUUGUUCCAAAUUGCUUCUUAUUUGUGGAUAAAGUCCCCGUUCCCCCCUCCACCCCCCUCCUCACAUUCACUCGCUGGCCUACAAAUGUCCUUUUACAUACAUGUGAAUAUCAAAGGUAUAAAAUGCAUACUAGCACUGCCCCCCCCGGUUUAUCACACCCACUUCAAUUCAAUUUGGGACUGUCGGCACGGUAACUGAGCUGGG